GUAAAGCCCCGCUCUUUGCCUUCUUCACUCUCAAAAUUAAAAAAACACGCACACUCUCUCUCUGAUUCCCUAUCUGUUUUUUUAAAAAUUAGGGUUUUCAAAUUACCGUCAAUCAACCAUGUCGUUGAGACCUAGCGCGAGAACCGAGGUUCGCCGGAACCGAUACAAAGUCGCAGUCGACGCCGAUGAAGGUCGCCGGAGAAGAGAGGACAAUAUGGUGGAGAUCCGCAAGAACAAGCGUGAAGAGAGUUUGCUAAAGAAGCGACGCGAAGGUCUCCAGGCACAACAGUUCCCUCCCGCUAUUCUCUCUUCUUCUAAUGUGGAAAAGAAGUUAGAGAAUUUGCCUUCGAUGGUGGCUGGUGUUUGGUCUGAGGAUGGCAAUUUGCAGCUUGAAUCAACUACUCAGUUUCGGAAACUGCUUUCGAUUGAGAGGAGUCCUCCGAUAGAGGAAGUUAUACAAGCUGGGGUUGUUCCUCGAUUUGUUGAGUUUCUUGUUAGGGAGGAUUUCCCUCAGCUUCAGUUUGAGGCUGCUUGGGCUCUCACAAACAUUGCCUCUGGAACUUCAGAGAACACUAAGGUGGUAAUUGAUCAUGGUGCAGUUCCAAUAUUUGUCAAGCUUCUCGGUUCUCCCAGUGAUGAUGUUAGGGAGCAGGCUGUGUGGGCAUUGGGAAAUGUUGCUGGUGACUCCCCUAAGUGCCGUGAUCUUGUGCUCAGCCAUGGAGCCUUGAUUCCAUUGCUGGCACAGUUGAAUGAGCAUGCAAAGCUUUCAAUGCUGAGGAAUGCUACGUGGACACUAUCAAACUUCUGCAGGGGCAAGCCACAGCCUCCGUUCGAGCAGGUGAGGCCAGCCCUUCCUGCACUUGAACGUCUUGUACAUUCAACUGAUGAAGAAGUCCUAACUGAUUCUUGCUGGGCACUCUCUUAUCUUUCUGAUGGUACAGAUGAUAAAAUCCAAGCUGUUAUUGAGGCAGGUGUCUGUCCACGACUUGUGGAGCUCCUCCUCCAUCCUUCUCCUUCAGUGCUUGUUCCUGCCCUCCGCACAGUUGGAAAUAUUGUGACAGGGGAUGAUAUGCAGACCCAGUGCAUAAUUACCACUGGUGCACUCCCAUGCCUUCUAAGCCUGCUGACUCAUAAUCAUAAAAAGAGCAUCAAGAAAGAAGCUUGCUGGACUAUCUCAAACAUCACUGCUGGAAACAAGGAGCAGAUCCAGGCUGUUAUUGAGAAUGGUUUAAUUGGCCCGCUCGUUAAUUUACUUCAAAAUGCGGAGUUUGAUAUAAAGAAAGAAGCUGCUUGGGCUGUGUCUAAUGCUACUUCGGGUGGCACUCACGAGCAAAUUAAGUUUUUGGUCAGUCAGGGAUGUAUUAAACCAUUGUGUGAUCUUCUUGUAUCCCCUGAUCCAAGGAUUGUAACUGUAUCUCUUGAAGGAUUAGAGAACAUUCUGAAGGUUGGGGAAGCGGAGAAGAAUUUGGGGAAUAGUGGAGAUGCUAAUUUCUAUGCCCAGAUGAUAGAUGAUGCCGAGGGACUAGAAAAGAUUGAAAAUCUACAGAGUCAUGACAACAAUGAGAUAUAUGAGAAGGCAGUCAAGAUUCUCGAGACUUAUUGGUUGGAAGAAGACGACGAGACUUUGCCUUCAGGUGAUGGUGCCCAGCAAGGAUUUCAGUUUGGUGGGAACGGUGUUCAAGUUCCAUCUGGUGGAUUCAACUUUUAGCUGAAGCUUACACGCAACACGACUAAUCCCCGGUCCAUUGAACACUUUGCAAGCCUAGUGGACAUGUAAGACAUCGCGGGGGUGUCAGGUAUGCACAGAAAGAAUCGAAUCUGGUUGCAAGUAUCUUUCCCCGUUAGACCACUACCUCAAGUGCUCUCUCUUCCUCGGUUUUUGGUAUUGAGCCAAAUGUUGAAAUUGAAGGCGAGUGUGAGCAAGAAUGGCCCACUCCUAUAAAGCGGCAACAAUGGUGGCAAAUGCAAAUGCAAAUGCCAUCUAGUUGGAAGACUACUUUGACUAGAAAAGGGGAGGAAUCUGAGUCAUAUGACCUUCGUAAACACACUCGAAGGGCAAAUGGUGGGCCGAGCUUUGUUCUUUUGCAGCCUAUAGAUCCUUAAUAGAUCUGAAAAUUCGUAUUUUUUCCUGCUGGACCCUCACGAGAGAAGGUCCAUUGAGACAUGCCGCUCGCUCUGGACCAUUUGCUUUUGUGCAGCUGGUAUCCUCCACUCAGAUUCUGUAUUUUUCUCCAUAAGAUAUGUAAAAAUCAGGUAGCUUGUCCAUAAUUUUAUUUGUUCCUGUAACCAGAUUUUAUGAAAACCUUGAGCUGAAGAUUGCGGUCUGACAAUUCCGAUAUUUGCUGAAGAAGAUAAAUUGAGGCCAUCAGUUGGAUUAUUUUUAA
RNA transcript from Populus trichocarpa (black cottonwood), 2384 nucleotides. It is a transcript of the gene named importin subunit alpha-2, with no coding region annotated. Lineage: Eukaryota; Viridiplantae; Streptophyta; Magnoliopsida; Malpighiales; Salicaceae. The record is from RefSeq and is a predicted model, not a curated record. The transcript is spliced from 12 exons.